CAGGUGCAACUGUAGAGAAGAAUGCAUUUCAAGAAUGGAGGAGUUAUUUUUUUAUUAUGGGUGCUGGCUUUUAAGCAGAAGGGCCAGGAAGUGCCGAGCCACCCAGAAGGGGUUUCCCUGCGUUGAACAAGAAAGCAAACUUGAUCAGCAGUGGUGGAAAAGUGCAGUCUGCUUUGGUAGUGAACCAGGCCUUAAAGGAGGAAGCCAUGGAUUCUAAAGUAGCGUAUCCAGCGUAACUGAGCAGUUAGAAGUUUGGACUAGUCCAUGAAGCUCACCAGGUGACCUUGGGCCAGUCACUUCCUCUCAAGUUAACCUACCUCACAGGGAUGUUGUGAGGAUAAAAUAGGGGAGGGAUAACCAUGCACUCCUCCUUGGAAAAAGAGAAGUAAAAUAAGAACAAUAUUAAAAACUUUCCCCCAACAAAAAAACAA
Lacerta agilis (Sand lizard) is the source of this 431-nucleotide long non-coding RNA. RefSeq lists it as uncharacterized. Lineage: Eukaryota; Metazoa; Chordata; Lepidosauria; Squamata; Lacertidae. The transcript has 2 exons. The record is from RefSeq and is a predicted model, not a curated record.